Molecule: long non-coding RNA, 603 nt
Organism: Apis laboriosa (Himalayan honeybee)
Lineage: Eukaryota; Metazoa; Arthropoda; Insecta; Hymenoptera; Apidae
Exons: 3
Source: RefSeq, a predicted model, not a curated record
GUCGGUGGUGGUCGAGCUCGACUCCGAAGUCGUUGAGAGGAUCGCUCUCUCCGUCUCAGUUUCUUCCGUUCUUCCCGCCUCCGUUUCAACGGGGAGGAUGUCGUCGUUGGACGUCGAGGACGAACCGAUCCAAGUCUCUUCGAAGAUUCCACAGCACGCAUAAUCUACAUGCAUAGAAUUUUCGAUCGAAAUUCCAAUACGGGACAAAGUCUCUUUACAAAACACCGUUGAUGUCGAUCGUCGAGAAUCUCGCCGUCAAGACGAGCACAUCGCGCACUAUGCUGUUAACAUAGGACGCGACGUUUCCGAUGCACCCGCGACCUUGUACCUGACGAGCACGCCAAAGGACACCCGAAAGCAAUCGCGAGCACCGUACACCGGUGCGAGGAGAGCGAGACUGAACGUUGUGCAGAGGAUAGAGAGGCCACUGUUACUUUCAUGGGUUGCCUCCACCUCCACCGUGGGACUGUCCGAACCUCUCCAAUCCAUUCCUGCCACUCCUCCUCUCAGGCAGAGGUGAAAGGAAAACAUUUCUUCCCUUCUUCCACCCUACCCCGAAACUUCUUCGAGUUCGCUUUUUUUUUUUUUUUUUUUUUUUUUAAU